Phyllopteryx taeniolatus (common seadragon) is the source of this 1155-nucleotide long non-coding RNA. RefSeq lists it as uncharacterized. NCBI's taxonomy places the organism in Eukaryota, Metazoa, Chordata, Actinopteri, Syngnathiformes, Syngnathidae. The record is from RefSeq and is a predicted model, not a curated record. The transcript has 3 exons.
AAAAACUUUCCAGAGGUCCGGCCUCUUCAAUUGUUCGGCGGUGUGGUGGAAAAGUACAUGAUCUUGGCUUGAGACCAAACCACCCGCUCGCAUGGAAGCAUCUCGCACUCCGGAGCGGCAACGCAAUUUGUGCAAAUAACUGGCGCGUGACGCCCCAUCAGACAAAUCCCCGUUUGUGCGCUCGACAAGGGACACUUUCACAUUAAGGAGCGGCGGCUUGGUGGGAACCGAUGGCUGACCCCGCAAAUUAAUCACAGUAACUUUCAGCAAAAAAAAAAAAACAACACACAUUUCCUCGGGAAUUCAGUGAAAAGAGCCACAGGGACACCGAGACUGUGUGCAGGCCAGUCAAGUUCAUCCAUGCAGUCAUCUUUGCCAAAUAGUGACGGGCAGAACAAAGAAGAUGCUCUUCCACGAGAAGGCAAAAAGUACACUUAACCUGUGUUUCCACCUUUUGCCAUUCAUGCAACUGAAUAAUAGCUUUGUGUUUCAUUAAAGAGGACCAGCGUUCACACUGGGCUAUCCCAUCGUGAGCCAUCAAUCUGACUUGUUUACUGCUGGCAAACAAUGCAGGGCAGGAAUGAAAGAUCCAGUCACACUCAGAAGUCAAAGUCAGCCUGACAGGAGGUCCAGCGGCUCUUCAGACACAUGACCCCUCUGCUCACACAUGCGACGUUGAGCCCACACGCCGUUUGAAUGACACCGCAUGUCUUAAGGCUCGGAGAAGACGUGAAGAACGUGGACGAUGUAUGCUUGAAAUCAAUCAUUGAAGGACAGCUACAAGGAAGUAGAACGUGUGGAAUAAGGUGACUGUUUCACCUCCGUAGACCAGAUGCAAAGAGGUGGUCCAUAUGAGAGGAAUCAAGACACUCUCCAUGAGCAAAGUGAUGGGAUGCGCUCAUACAAACUGAUCCAAGACAAUCGCUAACAUAACCUGAGCUCCGUUAUGGCUUCAUGAAAGUAACUUUUGUUCACUGUCCACCCAGACAAUCUGAAGUCCAACGUAUACAAAAAAAAUGUCAAUCACACAUUUUGGAGAUAAGAUUGUUUAGCAAACACAAAAUUCUUCCCAUUUCCAAGAUAAGGGGGAAUGACCCCAAUUAGGCUUGUUUUAGUGUUGAAGGCCAACAACAUUCCUGUACACGGAAUAUUCCG